RNAcentral lists this ribosomal RNA (497 nucleotides) under uncultured bacterium. RNAcentral describes it as "partial 16S ribosomal RNA". It matches the Rfam family "Bacterial small subunit ribosomal RNA", at positions 28 to 507 of the family's 1533-position model. The record is from RNAcentral.
GAUGAACGCUGGCGGCGUGCCUAAUACAUGCAAGUCGAGCGAACGGACGAGAAGCUUGCUUCUCUGAUGUUAGCGGCGGACGGGUGAGUAACACGUGGAUAACCUACCUAUAAGACUGGGAUAACUUCGGGAAACCGGAGCUAAUACCGGAUGAUAUUUUGAACCGCAUGGUUCAAAAGUGAAAGAUGGUCUUGCUGUCACUUAUAGAUGGAUCCGCGCUGCAUUAGCUAGUUGGUAAGGUAACGGCUUACCAAGGCAACGAUGCAUAGCCGACCUGAGAGGGUGAUCGGCCACACUGGAACUGAGACACGGUCCAGACUCCUACGGGAGGCAGCAGUAGGGAAUCUUCCGCAGUGGGCGAAAGCCUGACGGAGCAACGCCGCGUGAGUGAUGAAGGUCUUCGGAUCGUAAAACUCUGUUAUUAGGGAAGAACAUAUGUGUAAGUAACUGUGCACAUCUUGACGGUACCUAAUCAGAAAGCCACGGCUAACUACGUG